RNAcentral lists this transfer RNA (84 nucleotides) under Fibrobacter sp. Its description in RNAcentral is "tRNA-Leu". It matches the Rfam family "tRNA". Rfam says of the family: Transfer RNA (tRNA) molecules are approximately 80 nucleotides in length. Their secondary structure includes four short double-helical elements and three loops (D, anti-codon, and T loops). Further hydrogen bonds mediate the characteristic L-shaped molecular structure. tRNAs have two regions of fundamental functional importance: the anti-codon, which is responsible for specific mRNA codon recognition, and the 3' end, to which the tRNAs corresponding amino acid is attached (by aminoacyl-tRNA synthetases). tRNAs cope with the degeneracy of the genetic code in two manners: having more than one tRNA (with a specific anti-codon) for a particular amino acid; and 'wobble' base-pairing, i.e. permitting non-standard base-pairing at the 3rd anti-codon position. RNAcentral also lists the same sequence under 1 other name. The record is from RNAcentral. Lineage: Bacteria; Pseudomonadati; Fibrobacterota; Fibrobacteria; Fibrobacterales; Fibrobacteraceae.
GCGGAUGUGGUGGAAUUGGUAGACACGCUAGAUUCAGAUUCUAGUGUUCGCAAGGACAUGGAGGUUCAAGUCCUCUCAUCCGCA